UGAGAAAUGGUCAUCUGUAUGGACUGUAUGUAGAUAGGGUAUUAUAUGAAGAAAACUUUGGAACAGCCUAGCUAAAAACAAGAAAAAUAAUAAUCCAAAUAAUAUUGUGAGUUUUAAAGUUCCUUUUUUUUUUGCCAUCUUUGUUUGAAUAGGUUUACAUACGUAAUUUUCACCCAAACCUCCGUCAUUAAAAUCAUAAACACAUUCCGCUCCGAGGUCUAAUGCAGUUCUUAUAACAUUUUACAUU
Non-coding RNA from Cinara cedri, 247 nucleotides. The record is from the annotation of a GenBank genome assembly. NCBI's taxonomy places the organism in Eukaryota, Metazoa, Arthropoda, Insecta, Hemiptera, Aphididae.